CCCCAGUACACCCAGUUCAGCACCAGAGAACCCCUUACUGGUCCUUACUGGUUCAUACCGGUCCUUACUGGCCCUUAUUGUUCCAUACUGGUCCGUACUGGUCCUACUGGUCCAGUACCAGCACCCAAUAGCCCCAGUACAACCGGUUCACCUGCACCAGUACCAGAGCGCCCCAUACUGGUCCUUACUGGUAUUAGUGGCUCUCAGUAUGGGCAGUACUGGUGCCAGAAAGGCCAUACUGGUCCCAGUACGACCAGUACUGGUGCUGGAGCUCCUGUACUGGUCCCAGUACCACCAGUACAGGUGCCUGAACUCCCCUACUGGUCCCAGUACAGCCUGUACUGGUGCUGGAGCCCCCUGCUGGUCCCAGUAUGGCCAGUACUGGUGCCGGAGCCCCUGUACUGGUCCCAGUACCACCAGUACCGGUGCUGGGGCACCUGUACUGGGACCAGUAGGGGCAGUACUAGUGCCAGAGCUCCUGUACUGGUCCCAGUAGGGGCAGUACUGGUGCCACAGCCCCCAUACUGGUCCCAGUACGGGCAGUACUGGUGCCGGAGCCCCCGUACUGGUUCCAGUAACACCAGUACAGGUGCCGCAGAUCCCGUACUGGUCCCAGUACUGGCAGUACUGGUGCUGGAGCUCCCAUACUGGUCCCAGUAUGGGCAGUACGGGUGCUGGGGGCCCUGUACUGGUCCCAGUACGGGCAGUACUGGUGCCGCAGCCCCCAUACUGGUCCUAGUACAGGCACUGGGCCCCCGUACUGGUCCCAGUAUGGGCAGUAGGGGUGCUGGGGGCCCCAUACUGGUCCCAGUACCACCAGUACAGGCGCCGGCGAUCCCGUACUGGUCCCAGUACUGCUGCCAGGGCCCCCAUACUGGUCCCAGUACAAGCAGUACUGGUGCCAGGGGCCCCGUACUGGUCCCAGUACGGGCAGUACUGGUGCCGGAGCUCCCGUACUGGUCCCAGUACCACCAGUACUGGCGCCGCAGACCCUGUACUGGUUCCAGUAGGGGCAGUACUGGUGCUGGGGGCCCCGUACUGGGACCAGUAUGGGCUGUACUGGUUCCGCAGCCCCAUACUGGUCCCAGUACUGCUAGUGCUGGUGCCGCGGCCCCCGUACUGGUCCCAGUAUGGGCAGUACUGGUGCCAGAGCCCCUGUACUGGUCCCAGUACCACCAGUACGGGUGCCCCACUGGUGCCGGGGCACCCGUACUGGGACCAGUACGGGCAGUACUGGUGCUG
Molecule: long non-coding RNA, 1242 nt
Filed under: Cairina moschata (Muscovy duck)
Lineage: Eukaryota; Metazoa; Chordata; Aves; Anseriformes; Anatidae
Description: domestica (muscovy Duck (domestic type)) lncRNA (ENSCMMG00000007021.1)
Source: RNAcentral